This 460-nucleotide ribosomal RNA is filed under the name uncultured bacterium. RNAcentral describes it as "bacterial SSU rRNA". It matches the Rfam family "Bacterial small subunit ribosomal RNA", at positions 32 to 507 of the family's 1533-position model. The record is from RNAcentral.
AAUAAAACGCUAGCGGCGCGCCUAAUGCAUGCAAGUCGAGCGAUGAGGUCCUACGGGGCCAUCAGCGGCAGACGGGUGAGUAACACAUGGGUAACCCACCUUCAAGCCGGGGAUAACGUGUGGAAACGCACGCUAAUACCCGAUGCGUACGCUUAAGAGGAGACUGUGAGCGUAGAAAGUUACGGCGCUUGAAGAGGGGCCUGUGGCCCAUCAGUUAGUUGGUAGGGUAACGGCCUACCAAGGCGAAGACGGGUAGGGGUGUGAGAGCACGGCCCCCCACAAUGGGACUGAGAGACGGCCCAUACUCCUACGGGAGGCAGCAGCAGGGAAUCUUGCGCAAUGGACGGAAGUCUGACGCAGCGACGCCGCGUGGGUGAAGACGGCCUUCGGGUUGUAAAGCCCUUUUCUGGAGGAAGAGGGAGGACGGGUACUCCAGGAAUAAGUGUCGGCUAACUACGUG